UACGUAGGGUGCAAGCGUUAAUCGGAAUUACUGGGCGUAAAGCGUGCGCAGGCGGUUGUGCAAGACAGAUGUGAAAUCCCCGGGCUCAACCUGGGAAUUGCAUUUGUGACUGCACGGCUAGAGUGUGUCAGAGGGGGUAGGAAUUCCACGUGUAGCAGUGAAAUGCGUAGAGAUGUGGAGGAAUACCGAUGGCGAAGGCAGCCCCUGGCAAGCAUUGACG
RNAcentral lists this ribosomal RNA (220 nucleotides) under uncultured bacterium. Its description in RNAcentral is "partial 16S ribosomal RNA". It matches the Rfam family "Bacterial small subunit ribosomal RNA", at positions 524 to 745 of the family's 1533-position model. The record is from RNAcentral.